Molecule: transfer RNA, 66 nt
Filed under: Enterococcus faecalis
Lineage: Bacteria; Bacillati; Bacillota; Bacilli; Lactobacillales; Enterococcaceae
Description: tRNA-Lys
Rfam family: tRNA
About the family: Transfer RNA (tRNA) molecules are approximately 80 nucleotides in length. Their secondary structure includes four short double-helical elements and three loops (D, anti-codon, and T loops). Further hydrogen bonds mediate the characteristic L-shaped molecular structure. tRNAs have two regions of fundamental functional importance: the anti-codon, which is responsible for specific mRNA codon recognition, and the 3' end, to which the tRNAs corresponding amino acid is attached (by aminoacyl-tRNA synthetases). tRNAs cope with the degeneracy of the genetic code in two manners: having more than one tRNA (with a specific anti-codon) for a particular amino acid; and 'wobble' base-pairing, i.e. permitting non-standard base-pairing at the 3rd anti-codon position.
Source: RNAcentral
GGGGGCAUAGCUCAGUUGGUUAGAGCAUCUGACUCUUAAUCAGAGGGUCGAAUCCCUAUGCCCCCA